Molecule: non-coding RNA, 265 nt
Filed under: Streptomyces afghaniensis 772
Lineage: Bacteria; Bacillati; Actinomycetota; Actinomycetes; Kitasatosporales; Streptomycetaceae
Description: Bacterial small subunit ribosomal RNA
Rfam family: Bacterial small subunit ribosomal RNA
Source: Rfam by way of RNAcentral
CAAAAAGCCGGUCUCAGUUCGGAUUGGGGUCUGCAACUCGACCCCAUGAAGUCGGAGUCGCUAGUAAUCGCAGAUCAGCAUUGCUGCGGUGAAUACGUUCCCGGGCCUUGUACACACCGCCCGUCACGUCACGAAAGUCGGUAACACCCGAAGCCGGUGGCCCAACCCCCUUGUGGGGAGGGAGCUGUCGAAGGUGGGACUGGCGAUUGGGACAAGUCGUAACAAGGUAGCCGUACCGGAAGGUGCGGCUGGGAUCACCUCCUUU